GCAUGUCUAAGUAUAAACAAAUUUUUACUGUGAAACUGCGAAUGGCUCAUUAAAUCAGUUAUAGUUUAUUUGAUGGUACCUUACUACAUGGAUAACUGUGGUAAUUCUAGAGCUAAUACAUGCUGAAAAGGCCCGACCUCUGGAAGGGUUGUAUUUAUUAGAUAAAAAACCAAUGGCGGGCAACCGUCUUGCGUUGAUUCAUGAUAACUUCUCGAAUCGCAUGGCCUUGCGCCGGCGAUGCUUCAUUCAAAUAUCUGCCCUAUCAACUUUCGAUGGUAGGGUAGUGGCCUACCAUGGUUGUGACGGGUAACGGGGAAUAAGGGUUCGAUUCCGGAGAGAGGGCCUGAGAAACGGCCCUCAGUCCUAAGGGACGCAGCAGGCGCGCAAAUUAUCCCAUCCCGACACGGGGAGAUAGUGACAAUAAAUAACAAUGUAGGGCUCUUAUGGGUCUUACAAUUGGAAUGAGUACAAUUUAAAUCCCUUAACGAGGAUCAAUUGGAGGGCAAGUCUGGUGGUAAUUCCAGCUCCAAUAGCGUAUACUAAAGUUGUUGCCGUUAAAAAGCUCGUAGUCGAACUUCGGCCUCUGCCGCCCGGUCCGCCUAUUUGGUGAGUACUGGAGCGGUGGAGGCCUACCUCGUGGUGAAUGGCCGUGCCCUUCACUGGGUGUGGUCGGGAACCAUGACUUUUACCUUGAAAAAAUUAGAGUGUUCAAAGCAGGCUUACGCCCGAAUACAUUAGCAUGGAAUAAUAAAAUAGGACGUGCGGUUCUAUUUUGUUGGUUUCUAGGAUCGCCGUAAUGAUUAAUAGGGAUAGUUGGGGGCAUUCGUAUUCAAUUGCUAGAGGUGAAAUUCUUGGAUUUAUUGAAGACGAACUACUGCGAAAGCAUUUGCCAAGGAUGUUUUCAUUGAUCAAGAACGAAGGUUAGGGGAUCGAAAACGAUCAGAUACCGUUGUAGUCUUAACAGUAAACGAUGCCGACUAGGGAUCGGACGAGGAUUUUUAAUGACUCGUUCGGCACCUGAAGAGAAAUCUUUAAGUCUAGGUUCGGGGGGGAGUAUGGUCGCAAGGCUGAAACUUAAAGGAAUUGACGGAAGGGCACCACCAUGGUGUUACAGCUCGGCGGUCUAGUCAGAUUCAACACGGGAAAACUCACCAGGUCCAGACACGACAAGGAUUGACAGAUUGAUAGCUCUUUCUUGAUUUCGUGGGUGGUGGUGCAUGGCCGUUCUUAGUUGGUGGAGUGAUUUGUCUGGUUAAUUCCGAUAACGAACGAGACCUUAACCUGCUAAAUAGCCCGGCCGACUUUGGUUGGUCGCUGGCUUCUUAGAGGGACUAUCGGCGUUUAGCCGAUGGAAGUUUGAGGCAAUAACAGGUCUGUGAUGCCCUUAGAUGUUCUGGGCCGCACGCGCGCUACACUGACCGAACCAGCGAGUAUCUCCCUUGGGCCGGAAGGCCUGGGUAAUCUUGUGAAACUCGGUCGUGAUGGGGAUAGAGCAUUGCAAUUAUUGCUCUUCAACGAGGAAUACCUAGUAAGCGUGAGUCAUCAGCUCGCGUUGAAUUCGUCCCUGCCCUUUG
Molecule: ribosomal RNA, 1574 nt
Filed under: Microsporomyces pini
Lineage: Eukaryota; Fungi; Basidiomycota; Cystobasidiomycetes; Cystobasidiales; Microsporomycetaceae
Description: SSU rRNA
Rfam family: Eukaryotic small subunit ribosomal RNA
Source: RNAcentral